ACACAAUUUCUUACCAUCCUGAAGCAUCAUCAACAAUAAAACUGCCGUGGACACAGGGGUGGCCGAGUGGCCAGCUGUGCCUUGAAAUGCCUGAAGCCAUUGCAAUCAGUGCUCCACUGUCUGAGGCUCCCAAAAUAAAACACUUUGAACACUCAUUCCAAGG
Molecule: long non-coding RNA, 163 nt
Filed under: Fukomys damarensis (Damara mole-rat)
Lineage: Eukaryota; Metazoa; Chordata; Mammalia; Rodentia; Bathyergidae
Description: lncRNA (ENSFDAG00000022158.1)
Source: RNAcentral